Long non-coding RNA from Chinchilla lanigera (long-tailed chinchilla), 238 nucleotides. RefSeq lists it as uncharacterized. The transcript is spliced from 3 exons. Lineage: Eukaryota; Metazoa; Chordata; Mammalia; Rodentia; Chinchillidae. The record is from RefSeq and is a predicted model, not a curated record.
UAUCAUGAGACACAGCGUCCGGCUUUUUCAUGUCACCAAAGCAUCUUGAAGAUGGUCUCCAGAGGUACCUAAUAGGAGGUUUCCAGCAGAGCAGGGGAUGGAGUGGGCUGAGCUGUGGCUGCCAUUUUUAACAGGACCUGCUUCUGAUCUAUAAAAUCAGCAUCUCCAGAGGAAGAACCUGAGCAGCUGCAUUCUUAAUAUGUAACCCUCACUGCCUCCUCACGCCUCUGAAGUGAUA